Molecule: long non-coding RNA, 757 nt
Organism: Felis catus (domestic cat)
Lineage: Eukaryota; Metazoa; Chordata; Mammalia; Carnivora; Felidae
Exons: 7
Source: RefSeq, a predicted model, not a curated record
AGGGGGCGUCUAUUUUGGAACAAACCAUUGUGUGGGCUGCGGAGGCCAUAAGGGCUGCUACCACCCCCGUGCAAGGGGUUUCUGCCCAAGCCCCCGAUGGAGGCAGGAGUGGCACUACCUUCACCGUCCGCAGCCCCUGCCCAUCCUCCCGGUUCCCAUCCAAGUCCCAGAUAUUGAACCAGCCCUGCAUCCCAGGUGUAAAUCCCACUUGGUCGUGGUAUUGGAAACAGGCUGGGUCAUCAUCCCACUCACUGUACCACCAUAGGUGGCACCUCAUCACAGCUUCAUCAUGGCUUUGUGUCUGUACAUCCUGCUCACAGCUGACCCAGUGUGAAAUAUGAGUGCACGAGUAAGAUCAAGAUCUAGAGGAAAGGGAGAUGGAAUAAAGUCUUCUAAGCAGGAAGAACCUGUGGUUGCUAAACAACCAGGUGAAAAAACAUCACAGCAAAAGGAACUACCAACUGAGAAUCCAGAUAUUGAGACUGGGCAAGAGAAAGAAGGAGCACCUGUGGCUCAAGAACCUGAACUGGAAAGUGAAACCCAGGGAAUGGGUCUGGAAAAGACUGGAGCUGAGCAUGUAGAUUGCCCUGAGGUGAGAAAGGAAGACUCCACCUAAUCCAGCACCUGCUAAAAUUCCAGAAGCAUGUGAUGAACAGUCAUAUGUUCAAAAGAAGACAAGCUGAAGCCAUACAUAUGCUUUGUUAUGUUGAUAAUUUGGCUUAAGUUCUCUCAAUAAAGCCUUAAUAAAAUUUGCUCA